Molecule: transfer RNA, 81 nt
Filed under: Streptococcus suis
Lineage: Bacteria; Bacillati; Bacillota; Bacilli; Lactobacillales; Streptococcaceae
Also listed under: 1 other name
Description: tRNA-Tyr
Rfam family: tRNA
About the family: Transfer RNA (tRNA) molecules are approximately 80 nucleotides in length. Their secondary structure includes four short double-helical elements and three loops (D, anti-codon, and T loops).
Source: RNAcentral
GGAGAGGUAGCGAAGAGGCUAAACGCGGCGGACUGUAAAUCCGCUCCUUCGGGUUCGGGGGUUCGAAUCCCUCUCUCUCCA